GUGGUGCACAGCUGUGUCAUGAGGGACCUUCAGAGGUCUCUCCUAGCUGCAAUGCUGUUUGGUACUUUUAUUAAAGGGCUGAAUGAUGGUAUGGAAAUGAUGCUUGCUCACUUUGCAGAUUCUCUGGAUGAAUGGGUGAGUAUUUAAGCUGAUCUUGAUGUAUGAAGGAACAGGAUGCAAUCUGAUGAGGAUGAAGCCCUGCACUCAUUCAGGAACAGUCAUUUUCACCAUCCAUGGAGGUAUUUAAAAGAGAAAAAUACCGAGAAAACCAGAUGCAGCUAGACUGGUCAAUGUUCUGUGUUAUUCAGGUUUCAGCUGCAUCAGGAAAUGUUUCAGCAAGUUUUGUGUGGGAUCAUAUUUGCUUUGAGAGGCUGUUGGACUGAUUUCUUCUGUGAGCCUGUACAUGUAGAGAAACACUGUAGGUGAUAGAGAGACAUCAUAUCGGACAAGCAGCUGCAAGAAAAGAUUUUCUAGUCCAAAUGAAUACAGUUCACAUUGAUUGAGAAUAAAAUUCUUGCUUCUCAAUGCAUCUCCAGACUGCACACCCUCACCAAGCAGGACUUGUGGAAACAGGGACUGCUCUGUACAAGCAGGAACCUUUGUCCUUCUGGAACCCUUCUCUGAAAAUGUAUCUAUUCCUGUCUUCUUUAAUUUGACGAGAUUGAGUCAGAACACUCCUUCAGAUUAAUUCUAGUAUAGGAACCCAAGGUAGAGAAGGAUUUUGA
Molecule: non-coding RNA, 725 nt
Organism: Cyanistes caeruleus (blue tit)
Lineage: Eukaryota; Metazoa; Chordata; Aves; Passeriformes; Paridae
Source: RefSeq, a predicted model, not a curated record